This 382-nucleotide ribosomal RNA is filed under the name uncultured bacterium. RNAcentral describes it as "bacterial SSU rRNA". It matches the Rfam family "Bacterial small subunit ribosomal RNA", at positions 521 to 896 of the family's 1533-position model. The record is from RNAcentral.
UAAUACGUAGGGGGCAAGCGUUGUCCGGACUUACUGGGCGUAAAGCGCGCGCAGGCGGAUUGGUAUGUGCCGUGUGAAAGCUCCCAGCUUGCCUGGGAGAGGUCGCGGUAGACAGCCGAUCUGGAGGCUCGGAGAGGUCAGUGGAAUUCCCGGUGUAGUGGUGAAAUGCGUAGAUAUCGGGAGGAACACCAGUGGCGCAAGCGGCUGACUGGCCGAGACCUGACGCUGAGGCGCGACGGCGUGGGGAGCAAACCGGAUUAGAUACCCGGGUAGUCCACGCAGUAAACGAUGCACACCCGGUGUCGGACCGACCCUUUAGGUCGGUGCGGUGCCCAAGCUUACGCGAUGAGUGUGCCGCCUGGGGACUACGAGCGCAAGCUUA